RNAcentral lists this ribosomal RNA (498 nucleotides) under uncultured bacterium. Its description in RNAcentral is "bacterial SSU rRNA". It matches the Rfam family "Bacterial small subunit ribosomal RNA", at positions 31 to 518 of the family's 1533-position model. The record is from RNAcentral.
GAACGCUAGCGACAGGCUUAACACAUGCAAGUCGAGGGGCAGCACGGGAGUAGCAAUACAACUGGUGGCGACCGGCGCACGGGUGAGUAACGCGUAUGCAACCUACCUAUCAGAGGGGAAUAACCCGGCGAAAGUCGGACUAAUACCGCAUAAAACAGGGGCACCGCAUGGUGAUAUUUGUUAAAGAAAUUCGCUGAUAGAUGGGCAUGCGUUCCAUUAGGUAGUUGGUGAGGUAACGGCUCACCAAGCCGACGAUGGAUAGGGGAACUGAGAGGUUGGUCCCCCACACUGGUACUGAGACACGGACCAGACUCCUACGGGAGGCAGCAGUGAGGAAUAUUGGUCAAUGGGCGAGAGCCUGAACCAGCCAAGUCGCGUGAAGGAAAAGAAGGAUCUAUGGUUCGUAAACUUCUUUUGCAGGGGAAUAAAGUGCAGGACGUGUCCUGUUUUGUAUGUACCCUGAGAAUAAGGAUCGGCUAACUCCGUGCCAGCAGCUGC